AUGCGCUGCCUUUGAGCCCCCGUCGCGCCUGCGCGUGGCGCCAGGGAUUAAGCUGCAGCUCCAGAGCACGUGCUCGCGCAUAACUGGGACCGCCCACGAUCGGUCCUUUUAACCGCGAGCGACAGGG
Molecule: small nucleolar RNA, 127 nt
Organism: Castor canadensis (American beaver)
Lineage: Eukaryota; Metazoa; Chordata; Mammalia; Rodentia; Castoridae
Source: Ensembl